AAUAAGGGUGUCUGCCAUGAGUGGCACAGGAAGGGCAGCUCGCUUGCUCUACACAAUGAAUAGAAAUUUCAGAGUCAUAAUUUUCUGGCAGUUGGGCAGCUGGUGAUCAUUGGUCCUGGCACGCCA
RNAcentral lists this small nuclear RNA (126 nucleotides) under Sorex araneus (European shrew). Its description in RNAcentral is "U11 spliceosomal RNA (ENSSARG00000020281.1)". It matches the Rfam family "U11 spliceosomal RNA". Lineage: Eukaryota; Metazoa; Chordata; Mammalia; Eulipotyphla; Soricidae. The record is from RNAcentral.